Molecule: ribosomal RNA, 305 nt
Filed under: uncultured bacterium
Lineage: Bacteria
Description: bacterial SSU rRNA
Rfam family: Bacterial small subunit ribosomal RNA
Source: RNAcentral
CCUACGGGACGCAGCAGUGAGGAAUAUUGGUCAAUGGGCGGGAGCCUGAACCAGCCAAGUCGCGUGAAGGAAGAAGGUACUUAGUAUUGUAAACUUCUUUUGUCGGGGAACAAAGGCGGAGACGCGUCUCCGGAUGAGUGUACCCGAAGAAAAAGCAUCGGCUAACUCCGUGCCAGCAGCCGCGGUAAUACGGAGGAUGCGAGCGUUAUCCGGAUUUAUUGGGUUUAAAGGGUGCGCAGGCGGACCAUCAAGUCAGCGGUAAAAUCGUGGGGCCCAACCCCAUCCCGCCGUUGAAACUGGCGGUC